This is a long non-coding RNA of Drosophila simulans, 3540 nucleotides long. RefSeq lists it as uncharacterized. NCBI's taxonomy places the organism in Eukaryota, Metazoa, Arthropoda, Insecta, Diptera, Drosophilidae. The transcript has 3 exons. The record is from RefSeq and is a predicted model, not a curated record.
CGUAGUAGAAAAUAAAACUUUAUAAAAUAAAUAAAAAAAAUGAAAACUGUUUAUUGCAAAAGGCACGAAGUGCAAAUAUUCUAUUAUAAAGUAUUUUUUUUAAUUUAUUAUGUGAUAUUGUGUACAUAGAUUCGGCUAAUACUAUUUCUAAGCUAUAUUUUAAUAAUAAUAACGUCCAGGCAAUGCAAAGCAAUUAUUUUUUAAAUGGUACCUGCGGGAACCGGUUCAACUCCCGGAUGGCAAUGACGCUGAUCGCCAGUAGGAAGCGAAUCACCAUACGGAGUGGAUGUUCAACAUAUAGGUCAUAUAAUAAAUUGAAAUAAAGUAUCGAUGAAAAUCACCACUGUUUUGUAUACCUACCUUCUAGCGGGUUAAUACAUUGGAGGCGAGGUAAAUUGUAAUAAAAAAAAAUAAUACUGUUGGAAAAAAUAAGAGAUCUAAGUGGUGCAAACAAAUGCAGCUUUGCACAUGAAAACAGAUUUUUCGCACACCAGUUCCGUUAUUCUCCUUACCCUUAUCUUUGUUUGAUCGGUUAAAGAAUAAACAAGAACAACAACUGCAUCAGUGAGUUAACCAAAUUUGAAAAGAGCGUAUGAAGAAUUCGGAUCCGCAGAGAAAUAAUGUGUGUGGAAGAGCGUUAGAAAAUAACAUGAAUUAGGAGAAUUUGGCAGUACCAACGAGCACCAAAUUUGAAAAGAGCGUAAGAAGAUAUUCGAAUUCGAUUGGCUUAAGAGAAUUUGUUAGUACAAAUAGCACCAAAUUUGAGAUAAAUAUAGCUGACUUUUAGUCAGAGGCAGUACCAAGAGAACAUACCGAAACAAAGUAUACACACACGUAUAUGCGAAAAUAUAUAUAUUGUAGCAUAUGUGCCAUAGUAUAACACUUGACUACAUUUACUUACACACACACACAUACAUUACUAAAUAGCAACAGCCAUACACCAAAUCAUAGAAUGCCUUAGGAUAUAAGUCAUAAAUUCAAGUAUUCCAUAAGAACGCUAAAUACAUAAUGAACUAUAUCAACGACCAUGACGGAGAGUGUAAUACAGCCUUUUCUUUAUGAUACUAUCGACAAGUCUCUUUUGCUUUUGAAAUUUAUCUCAUAGUCGAGGAAAUCCCCACAGUGGUAAAGAAGUAAACUUCUUCAUCUUGUGGAACCAUAGUUUCAAACUGCGGCAUUCUCAUUACCUGACGCUGCUAAAUGGAUAUUUCUCGCCAAAGCAAAAUUCCAGUUUUGAGAGGCAUUUGUUUAGGAGUUUUGGCCCCACAGAAGGUGAGACGUUCGCAAAGUUUGUCUUAAGGCUGCGGCAUCAAUUACCGAAAUGUGAUUUUGGAGUUAUUAAAGCAGAAAUCGAAGAUAUCUAUUAUAUUAUAUUAUUAGAAAAAGAAUACACCCUUUCACAAAUGAUAUAAUUGACAGGCAUAAAGUCGAUGAGGAAAUUAAUAAACCGUCGGAAAUGAUGCGAUCUGAAACGAUAAAGGACCCAGAAACCGAAGGAGUAAGGACAAUCUCAACAGGGCAUAUGAAUUCAAAUAGAUCUUUGGAGCAAUAGUUCGGCAUGUCCAGCCAAAAACCAAAAAUGCAGCAAGUACUCUCAAGUGCAGAACAACAUAGUUUUAGAGGCUAUGCUACACAAGAAUUGCUGCACGUAAUUUGCGUUUUUGAAGCUCCCAUAUCAAUUGGUUUAAAUUGGUGCUUGCUUCAUUUUUUGUAAUAAAAAAACGGAACACAAUCACUAUUGGAAAAAAUUAACGGCAGUCAAAUUAAAUGUCUUACGUUUAGGACUCGAAGUAAAGAAAAUGAAAAAUGUGACGCCGUUUCCAAAGUGGAAGGGACAGGCGGUAAAAUUAUCAAUCGAUGCAACCAACAAACCGAUUCAGCAAGCAAUAUAACAGUUGCAUUUGAGGACAAAGUAAGCAAAUUUGGAAGAAGCUGUGGGUCUUGAAUUUAUUGAGCCAGUAAUAGGUCAUAUACCGUGGAUAUCACCUAUGAUUAUAGUAUUCAAAUAGACUGGCGACAUCAGAAUUUGCAUAGACAUGAGGCUUGCGUCAAAGAUGUUCUUUAAGUAAACAAUGUAACCUUGAAUGACGAAAAAUGUGUUUGGAAAACACAGCAAGUUAAAUUCUUGGUGCACAUUUUUCAGACAAAGGCAUUAAAGUAGAUCGAAAAGGUGGCAACGAUUCCUUCAUUCAGAGACUCAAAAAACAAGGAGGUUACCCGACCUAAAGCUCCAUUUGGCGAAAAUUCCGACCUUAUCAUACUUCGAUCCAAACAAUAGAACACGCCUAAUAGCAGACGACACUCCAGUUGCGUUAGGAAAUUCUAUACCACCGGCGAUCAAAAGAUUGUUUGCAAGACGCUGCCAAUCAGACGUAGAAAAACGGUACUCUCAGACCGAGAAAGAAAGCCUGUGAGCAGUUGAAAAGUUUAGUUUUUAUUUAGCCGGACUAGAAUUCAAAUUGGUGACUGACCACAAGUCGUUGGAAACCAUUUUUAAAACUUCAAAACCUCCAGCUCGAAAUGAACGAUGGCUGUUACGCCUACAAGCUCUUAAAUACAAGGUCAUCUACAAAGCGGGUAAGGAAAACAUCUCUUUCCAUAAACAAAUUCUAGCUGGCAGAUAACUGCACUUAAUGUAUUUCGGGAUAUUGAGUACACUGUCCCUACAUCAUUGAACAUAUCGGAAAUCGCACGCUGCAGAUGAUGAAAUCAUGGACGAAAUGACCUGUUUGGAUGAAAAUUACUGGCAAGCUGGCACAUCUUUCAGCUUCUACCCAUUUCGUUUCGAACUUUCAAUGCAUGGUUAAAUUUUAUUGAGUGGCACACGGUUAAUCAUCCCAAAAGGACUGCGCAAUAGAGUUUUAGAAUUAGCUCAUGAAGUGCACUGCACCCGGGUGAGUCGCCACAUCGAUCGAGAUGCUAAAAAUGUUGUGAAAACAUGCAAGAUUUGCAUGUUCGUUUCUCAACCGCCACGUCCAGCCCCAAUGCUAAGAACAGUUUUUCCAACAAGCCCUUGGAAUUCCAUAGAUAGUUAUCUAUUAGGUCCACUUCCAAACGGAAAAUACCUCCUUGUGUUUAUCGACUAUUUUUUCAGGUAUAUGGAGAUAACAUUUUUACAGACAAUAUCAUCGAAAUCAAUAAUCGGGGCGAUGAAAGAAAUAUUUUCCCGCUUAGGUUUCCCAAAAUAUCUGCGGACUGAUAACGGGACACAAUAUAUAUAUAUAUAAGUAAGAUUUUCGAACAAUACUGUAACACGAAUGGCAUUCCUCCAUAUUGGCCUCAGGCGAAUGGUGAGGCUAAAAAUAUCAAUCAAUCGUUAGUUAAGAGACUAAAAAUUUCCCAUUUCAACGAAACCAAUUUGCAGCAAGCAAUCCAGGAUUUUAUGUUUAUGCACAAUGUCACUCAACAUAGCACAAACAGUCACAUUGUAUUAUUCUUGUGAGUUUCUAUAGAUUUGCCAAAAAACUUUUUGCACCCCAACUCUAACUCCCUAAAACCGCCAAUCCUGCCACUCCCACAUUUUUGAAAAAUUGUUGGUCA